RNAcentral lists this ribosomal RNA (230 nucleotides) under uncultured Alicycliphilus sp. RNAcentral describes it as "partial 16S ribosomal RNA". It matches the Rfam family "Bacterial small subunit ribosomal RNA", at positions 548 to 774 of the family's 1533-position model. Lineage: Bacteria; Pseudomonadati; Pseudomonadota; Betaproteobacteria; Burkholderiales; Comamonadaceae. The record is from RNAcentral.
AGAGAUGCACUGGGUGUAAAGGGUGCGCAGGCGGUUUUGUAAGACAGAGGUGAAAUCCCCGAGCUCAACCUGGGAACUGCCUUUGUGACUGCAAGGCUGGAGUGCGGCAGAGGGGGAUGGAAUUCCGCGUGUAGCAGUGAAAUGCGUAGAUAUGCGGAGGAACACCGAUGGCGAAGGCAAUCCCCUGGGCCUGCACUGACGCUCAUGCACGAAAGCGUGGGGAGCAAACA